UACAGAGGUCCCAAGCGUUGUUCGGAUUCACUGGGCGUAAAGGGUGCGUAGGCGGUCAGGUAAGUCUGAUGUGAAAUCUCUGGGCUUAACCCAGAAAUGGCAUUGGAUACUAUUUGGCUUGAGAGUUGGAGGGGGGACUGGAAUUCUUGGUGUAGCAGUGAAAUGCGUAGAUAUCAAGAGGAACACCGAUGGCGAAGGCAGGUCUCUGGGCCAUUACUGACACUGAGAAGCGAAAGCAUGGGGAGCGAACAGG
RNAcentral lists this ribosomal RNA (253 nucleotides) under uncultured bacterium. RNAcentral's name for it is "partial 16S ribosomal RNA". It matches the Rfam family "Bacterial small subunit ribosomal RNA", at positions 524 to 776 of the family's 1533-position model. The record is from RNAcentral.